This 75-nucleotide ribosomal RNA is filed under the name Dehalococcoidia bacterium. Its description in RNAcentral is "partial 23S ribosomal RNA". Lineage: Bacteria; Bacillati; Chloroflexota; Dehalococcoidia. The record is from RNAcentral.
GGUCAAGUUAUUAAGGGCUUACGGUGGAUGCCUUGGGACCAAGAGCCGAUGAAGGGCGCGGCAAGGCUGCGUUAA